This is a small nucleolar RNA of Zalophus californianus (California sea lion), 93 nucleotides long. Ensembl annotates it as small nucleolar RNA SNORA24. The record is from Ensembl. NCBI's taxonomy places the organism in Eukaryota, Metazoa, Chordata, Mammalia, Carnivora, Otariidae.
AGCUGUGUGGUCUUCCUAGCCACGGAAGAGCAUAUUCUUGUUUAUUGGCAAAGCCGUACCCUUUUAAUGGGGAUCCGAUUCACAGGUAACCUC